Molecule: ribosomal RNA, 327 nt
Filed under: Triticum aestivum (bread wheat)
Lineage: Eukaryota; Viridiplantae; Streptophyta; Magnoliopsida; Poales; Poaceae
Description: partial small subunit ribosomal RNA
Source: RNAcentral
AUGACUCGUUUCACUCUUUGUCUCAUGAUGAUUGGUUGGCUGCAGGGGCACCGCGAGGAGUGGAGGAUCGAGGUCGUGGGUUGCCAGCUUCAAAUUUUGGGUCUCCGCAAGGAGUUGAAGGCUGAGGUCAUGGUUGCCAGCUUCAAUUUUUUGCUGAGCAAUUCCUCAAGAGUCUUGCCAAGAUCUGAGGAUGAAGGGAAGAAGAAGAAUUUAACUAAAGAGUUCAAGAAGAUGAAGCAAUGCACGGGCCAAAGACAAUCGGCAAUAAAAACAAUCUGCUUGCAAGUUCUAUAUUACCAGCGGAGGCUUUGCCAAGAGGAAGGGUAA